Molecule: ribosomal RNA, 477 nt
Filed under: uncultured bacterium
Lineage: Bacteria
Description: bacterial SSU rRNA
Rfam family: Bacterial small subunit ribosomal RNA
Source: RNAcentral
CGGAUGAACGCUGGCGGCGUGCCUCAAACAUGCAAGUCGAGCGAGGCUAUGAAUUACCGCAAGGUAAGGCAUAGCCUAGCGGCGAACGGGUGAGUAACACGUGGGUAACCUACCUGGAAGACAGGGAUAACGAUUCGAAAGGGUCGCUAAUACCUGAUAAUAUCCAUCUGCCGGAUGGCGGAGGGAAGAAAGGGGAAACCCGCUUUCAGAUGGGCCCGCGUCCCAUCAGCUAGUUGGUAAGGUAAAGGCUUACCAAGGCGACGACGGGUAGCCGGUCUGAGAGGAUGUACGGCCACACUGGGACUGAGAUACGGCCCAGACUCCUACGGGAGGCAGCAGUUGGGAAUCUUAGGCAAUGGACGAAAGUCUGACCUAGCGACGCCGCGUGAGGGAAGAAGGCCUUCGGGUUGUAAACCUCUGUCAUGGGGGAAGAAGGAAGUGACGGUACCCCAAGAGGAAGCCCCUGCUAACUACGUG